CCUACGGGAGGCAGCAGUGAGGAAUAUUUGUCAAUGGGCGCGAGCCUGAACCAGCCACGUAGCGUGAAGGAUGACUGCCCUACGGGUUGUAAACUUCUUUUAUAAAGGAAUAAAGUGCGGCGCGUGUGCCUUUUUGUAUGUACUUUAUGAAUAAGGAUCGGCUAACUCCGUGCCAGCAGCCGCGGUAAUACGGAGGAUCCAAGCGUUAUCCGGAUUUAUUGGGUUUACAGGGAGCGUAGAUGGGUUGUUAAGUCAGUUGUGAAAGUUUGCGGCUCAACCGGAAAAUUGCAAUUGAUACUGGCAGUCUUGAGGACAGUGGAGGUAGGCGGAAUUCGUGGGGUAGCGGUGAAAUGCUUAGAUAUCACGAAGAACUCCGAUUGCGAAGGCAGAUUACUAAACUGCCACUGACAUUGAGGCUCGAAAGUGUGGGUAUCAAACAGGAGUAGAUACCCGUGUAGUC
Molecule: ribosomal RNA, 460 nt
Filed under: uncultured bacterium
Lineage: Bacteria
Description: partial 16S ribosomal RNA
Rfam family: Bacterial small subunit ribosomal RNA
Source: RNAcentral